AAUGUAUAUAUAUGGUUUUGUCAAUGUUGCAUUCUGAAGGUUUUAUAUGGAUAGCUCAGGUUCAGGUAGUUACUAUAUAUCUUUCACUAUAUGUGCAAGA
This is a long non-coding RNA of Ipomoea nil (Japanese morning glory), 100 nucleotides long. RefSeq lists it as uncharacterized. The transcript has 3 exons. The record is from RefSeq and is a predicted model, not a curated record. NCBI's taxonomy places the organism in Eukaryota, Viridiplantae, Streptophyta, Magnoliopsida, Solanales, Convolvulaceae.